UACGGAGGGUGCAAGCGUUGUCCGGAAUCACUGGGCGUAAAGGGCGCGUAGGCGGCUCAUGAAGGCUGUGGUGAAAGUCCGGGGCUCAACCUCGGAUCGGCCGUGGCGACUCGUGGGCUGGGGCACUGUAGAGGCGGGUGGAAUUCCGGGUGUAGCGGUGGAAUGCGUAGAGAUCCGGAAGAACACCAGUGGCGAAGGCGGCCCGCUGGGCAGUGGCUGACGCUGAGGCGUGACAGCGUGGGGAGCAAACAGG
Molecule: ribosomal RNA, 253 nt
Filed under: uncultured bacterium
Lineage: Bacteria
Description: partial 16S ribosomal RNA
Rfam family: Bacterial small subunit ribosomal RNA
Source: RNAcentral